Molecule: ribosomal RNA, 440 nt
Filed under: uncultured bacterium
Lineage: Bacteria
Description: partial 16S ribosomal RNA
Rfam family: Bacterial small subunit ribosomal RNA
Source: RNAcentral
CCUACGUGAGGCAGCAGUGGGGAAUAUUGCACCAUGGGGGAAACCCUGAUGCAGCGACGCCGCGUGAGUGAAGAAGUAAUUCGUUAUGUAACGCUCUAUCAGCAGGGAAGAAAAUGACGGUACCUGAGUAAGAAGCCCCGGCUAACUACGUGCCAGCAGCCGCGGUAAUACGUAGGGGGCAAGCGUUAUCCGGAUUUACUGGGUGUAAAGGGAGCGUAGACGGCAGUGCAAGUCUGGAGUGAAAGGCGGGGGCUCAACCCCCGGACUGCUCUGGAAACUGUACGGCUGGAGUGCAGGAGAGGUAAGUGGAAUUCCUAGUGUAGCGGUGAAAUGCGUAGAUAUUAGGAGGAACACCAGUGGCGAAGGCGGCUUACUGGACUGUAACUGACGUUGAGGCUCGAAAGCGUGGGGAGCAAACAGGAUUAGAUACCCUAGUAGUC